Molecule: ribosomal RNA, 703 nt
Filed under: uncultured bacterium
Lineage: Bacteria
Description: bacterial SSU rRNA
Rfam family: Bacterial small subunit ribosomal RNA
Source: RNAcentral
AGUGGCGGACGGGUGAGUAACGCGUAGGAAUCUACCUGAUAGUGGGGGAUAGCCCGAAGAAAUUCGGAUUAAUACCGCAUAAUCUAUUCGUAGUAAAGUGGGGGACUUUCGAGCCUCACGCUAUCAGAUGAGCCUGCGUAAGAUUAGCUAGUUGGUAGGGUAAAAGCCUACCAAGGCUACGAUCUUUAGCUGGUCUGAGAGGAUGAUCAGCCACAUCGGGACUGAGACACGGCCCGAACUCCUACGGGAGGCAGCAGUGGGGAAUAUUGGACAAUGGGGGCAACCCUGAUCCAGCAAUACCGCGUGUGUGAAGAAGGCCUGAGGGUUGUAAAGCACUUUCAAUUGUGAAGAAAAGCUAGUGGUUAAUAGCUAUUAGCCUUGACGUUAACUUUAGAAGAAGCACCGGCUAACUCCGUGCCAGCAGCCGCGGUAAUACGGAGGGUGCAAGCGUUAAUCGGAAUUACUGGGCGUAAAGCGUGCGUAGGCGGUUUAUUAAGUCAGAUGUGAAAGCCCCGGGCUUAACCUGGGAACUGCAUUUGAAACUGGUCAACUAGAGUAUGGUAGAGGAAAGUGGUAUUUCUGGUGUAGCGGUGAAUGCGUAGAUAUCAGAUGAACAUCAAUGGCGAAGCAACUUUUCUGACAUACUGACGCUGAGUACGAAGCGUGGUAGCAAACAGAUAGAUAGCCUGGUAGUCAACGCCGA